UUGUUUUUGACUCAGAGAAGUGAAGUGACAUAGUUAAUGUCAAGCUGGCAAGUGGCAAUAUCUCUUUGGGAAGGAGCUUUCAGGUUGGGAGGAUUUGAUUAUUGAAGACAACAGAAGAUGGUACUUAAGGCUUUGGCUCUGGAAAAAGAGAUACCUGGAUUCUGAUCCUGAUGCCUCUCACUUAAACUCUACAAGCCUCACUUUCUCAACAGUACUUUAAUCAGCAUUUAAUGACCCAGUCGAAAAUUCAUCGUUUGGACCCAAGUACUGGUGGGAAAGGCGGGAGGGGAGGCCUGCCUUCCUCUCUCCCUCCCGAGCCCUACAGCAGGCCAUGGAGUGCCAUGCCUGAACUGGACACCCUUCCAUACCAACCCAGGAAAAAGUGAUUCAGCUCCGGUCUACCCUGGGUGCAGCGGUCCUUCUGCCAAGAUGCCUUCAUGUCAUACAGCUAUUAUUUUCGGGAGGGUUCCAAGUGAGGGCAGUCAGGGUAAGUGCCUCUCACCAGCUUCCUGCUCAGACCAUUGCUCCACAUACCCUAGCUCAUAAAUCCUGCCCCAACC
Molecule: long non-coding RNA, 560 nt
Filed under: Rhinopithecus bieti (black snub-nosed monkey)
Lineage: Eukaryota; Metazoa; Chordata; Mammalia; Primates; Cercopithecidae
Description: lncRNA (ENSRBIG00000046399.1)
Source: RNAcentral